UACGGGGGAUGCAAGCGUUAUUCGGAAUUAUUGGGCGUAAAGAGCUUGUAGGCGGUUUGUCGCGUCUGCUGUGAAAAUCCGGGGCUCAACCCCGGACUUGCAGUGGGUACGGGCAGACUAGAGUGUGGUAGGGGAGACUGGAAUUCCUGGUGUAGCGGUGAAAUGCGCAGAUAUCAGGAGGAACACCGAUGGCGAAGGCAGGUCUCUGGGCCACUACUGACGCUGAGAAGCGAAAGCGUGGGGAGCGAACAGGAUUAGAUACCCUGGUAGUCCACGCCGUAAACGUUGGGAACUAGGUGUGGGUCUCAUUCCACGAGAUCCGUGCCGCAGCUAACGCAUUAAGUGCCCCGCCUGGGGAGUACGGCCGCAAGGCUAAA
Molecule: ribosomal RNA, 377 nt
Filed under: uncultured bacterium
Lineage: Bacteria
Description: bacterial SSU rRNA
Rfam family: Bacterial small subunit ribosomal RNA
Source: RNAcentral